AUCGCUUCUUGGCCUUUUGGCUAAGAUCAAGUGUGGAAUAUCGAGUUAAAUAAGCUCUUUUUUUUUUUCUUAUGGAAUUCCAUUUUUACUUGAAAGAACAUCUGACAGAAAACUACAGUUAUUUGGAGUUGGGCAUUAAGC
RNAcentral lists this small nuclear RNA (141 nucleotides) under Zalophus californianus (California sea lion). Its description in RNAcentral is "U2 spliceosomal RNA (ENSZCAG00015012900.1)". It matches the Rfam family "U2 spliceosomal RNA". From Rfam's summary of the family: U2 is a small nuclear RNA (snRNA) component of the spliceosome (involved in pre-mRNA splicing). Complementary binding between U2 snRNA (in an area lying towards the 5' end but 3' to hairpin I) and the branchpoint sequence (BPS) of the intron results the bulging out of an unpaired adenosine, on the BPS, which initiates a nucleophilic attack at the intronic 5' splice site, thus starting the first of two transesterification reactions that mediate splicing. RNAcentral also lists the same sequence under 1 other name. The record is from RNAcentral. Lineage: Eukaryota; Metazoa; Chordata; Mammalia; Carnivora; Otariidae.